CGAUCCUAAAGUUGUUAAACUUGUGCGCUUAUGCAAUUAUGCAAACUUUUGACUGAUGUACAAGAAUGUUAUCGGAUUUUGAUAUCAGAUACCAAUUUGUACUUUUAUUUACUUGGAUUAUUUGUGUUUCUUGCAGUUGCCACAAACAAUACCAUAAAAAUGUUUCUGACGAUUGCAUUUAUAAUUUCUUUUUGAAUGGAACUGUUUGUCAAGAAUGUCCAGCUGGGUAUUUUGGAAAAAACUGUUCAAUACCAUGCAUCCCUCCUGAUUAUGAAUGUUCGUGUAAUAAGCAAUGUAGCUGCCCAGUAUGCCAUUAUAUUGUAGGAUGU
Long non-coding RNA from Magallana angulata, 329 nucleotides. RefSeq lists it as uncharacterized. NCBI's taxonomy places the organism in Eukaryota, Metazoa, Mollusca, Bivalvia, Ostreida, Ostreidae. The record is from RefSeq and is a predicted model, not a curated record. The transcript is spliced from 3 exons.